Molecule: ribosomal RNA, 372 nt
Filed under: uncultured organism
Description: partial 16S ribosomal RNA
Rfam family: Bacterial small subunit ribosomal RNA
Source: RNAcentral
GUAGGUGGCAAGCGUUGUCCGGAAUUAUUGGGCGUAAAGCGCGCGCAGGUGGUCUUUAAGUCUGAUGUGAAAGCCCCCGGGCUCAACCGGGGAGGGUCAUUGGAAACUGGGGAACUUGAGUGCAGGAGAGGAAAGUGGAAUUCCACGUGUAGCGGUGAAAUGCGUAGAUAUGUGGAGGAACACCAGUGGCGAAGGCGACUUUCUGGCCUGUAACUGACACUGAGGCGCGAAAGCGUGGGGAGCAAACAGGAUUAGAUACCCUGGUAGUCCACGCCGUAAACGAUGAGUGCUAAGUGUUGGGGGGUUUCCGCCCCUCAGUGCUGCAGCUAACGCAUUAAGCACUCCGCCUGGGGAGUACGGUCGCAAAGACUG